This 253-nucleotide ribosomal RNA is filed under the name uncultured bacterium. RNAcentral describes it as "partial 16S ribosomal RNA". It matches the Rfam family "Bacterial small subunit ribosomal RNA", at positions 524 to 776 of the family's 1533-position model. The record is from RNAcentral.
UACGUAUGGGGCAAGCGUUAUCCGGAUUUACUGGGUGUAAAGGGAGCGUAGGCGGCCUGGCAAGCCUGAUGUGAAAUACCGGGGCCCAACCCCGGGGCUGCAUUGGGAACUGCCAGGCUGGAGUGCCGGAGAGGCAGGCGGAAUUCCUAGUGUAGCGGUGAAAUGCGUAGAUAUUAGGAGGAACACCGGUGGCGAAAGCGGCUCUCUGGCCUGUAGCUGACACUGAGGCUCGAAAGCGUGGGGAGCAAACAGG